Molecule: long non-coding RNA, 2657 nt
Organism: Myotis davidii
Lineage: Eukaryota; Metazoa; Chordata; Mammalia; Chiroptera; Vespertilionidae
Exons: 7
Source: RefSeq, a predicted model, not a curated record
AGGGUUAUUUAUACCAUAAGCUCAAAAGAUCUGUUCAGAGAUUUCAGGAGCUGAGGCCAUUUGGGUCCAUAAAGAAUCUUGACCCAGUGGGGAAACCUGUGACAGAGGAAGCGAAGUUGGUCACACGGAUGCACCAAGUCCCUCAUGAUGUCAGUGAGGCUGCAUCCACGCUCUGGGUGGAAAGACGCUGAGUCUUCCAGACGCUGGUUGUCCAGAGGAGGCCGAGGUUCUCCUGAGGAAGCUCAAGGUCGUGCUGUUUUAACCAGUCCCCCCCCCCUUCCCUCCAUCAGGGUCCAACGGGGCUCAGCAGGAGGAAUGGGGGCCCACGCGGUGGGACCGGAAGGGCGGCCUCGCCAGCAGGAUCUAAUUUUAGCUGCAUGAUGAAUGGCCCAGGGAAGUGUUCCGCUGCCCUCCGAGGAGAGGAAUAUACAUCAGACCUGCUCAGAUGUGAAAAUGGAGGCUCAGAGAGAUGAAACCACCUGUUCAAGUUCUGGGACAUGGCCCGAACGUUAGAAGCAAAAUACUUGAAGAGAUGCCGGCGGAGGGAGGCACUGCUCCCAGCGAGAAGGAAAAGGUGGGCUCUGACCCCAGCGGACUGACUGUAAAAGGAAAAGUGGCGAAAACCAUGAAAAAGCAGACAAGGAGCUAAAAAGGCGUGAUGAUCGCCGGCCGGCCGUCUAUGGCAGAAAUAUUUGCUGGCCAUCCCCGAGUCCCUUCCUGGGUUCUUUACAAGUUGUUUCCUUAUGGGACGGACAGCUGCUGACUCCGGGGUCUUCGCCGGGAACGAAAGAGCGAGGACCAGGAAGGUGAGAACUCAGAGGCGGUGGUGGAGGCCUUCGACGGCAUCGCGCUCCUCACGGGGGCUCUGCUCGCCUGCCCUGGACACCCACGGUCCCCCGCACCCCCCACGCAAGAUUCCCCUGGAAACAUGAUGUUCGUCUUUACUUUGGGAUGACCAUCCCGCAGGCAGAUGAACACAUCUGUCCUAGAACUGGAGCCCUGCAACUGCAACGUGACGCUGGCCAUCGCAGUUCCCAGGAGGGGCCCCGAGGACACAGGCUCCCUGUCCCCAGGCUGGGCUCUGGGCCCCCGCCAGGGCGGGUUCAGAUAUGCCAGGAGGGGGACCGGGCGGGGGGGGGGAGCUGGGGGCAACGCUUACUAUCAGGCUGCUUCUGACAAUGCCUAAUGUAACCCAUACACUACACAUACAUUCUAGUUACACAAUUUAUGAGGUAUAACAAGGGGAGAGAAGUGAAGCGGGCUUAUAAUUGUGACUGAUGUGAAACAGACAUGUAGAAUGAAUGGCCUUACAACAUUUUCUUUGAAGUUGGUUAAAAGCAGUAAAGUGAUAUUCGCCGUAAGUGAAACCUGCUGUGGCAGAUCCCCACUGGCGUGGGGGACGUUUUUCCUGUGGACUCUAUUUCUUGAAUUUUAAUCCGCCACUCGGAGGGUUUGAAAAGGUUUCUUUCGCUGCGCGGUGGGAGGGAGAGAGAGAGGAUGCACACUGUGGAACACCUACUACGUGCCCGUCCCGUGUCAAGCUCGUGGCCCCAGGGAGCCCCAGUGGGUGCAGCGCCUAGUGCCCACGGGAAUGUUUUCAUUUGAAUGUCUUGGAAAGCCAGAAGAAAGCAAUGAAUAUACUGAUACGAUACCACAUUAAUUAAUUCCCAUGAUAAAAUUAAAAUAAUGAUAAUGAACAUAACAAGGAAUCCGGUCUGGACUGUGUUUGCUCUCUGCUAUUUUUUUUUUAUGGGAAAAGGGCCCACAGGGCAGGGGACUGAGGGCCCGCAGACCGCACAGUGUGGCCCUGGGUGAUAGACACUAUCUCACUGGUUCUCCCCGGCGACUGUGAAAGGCAGGAAGGCACGGGGAGGGUGACCCUUCAGAGACUUCAGGAAUUUCCGAAGGACGAGGGAGAGCCAGGUCUGAAGGCGAUUGUCUGACUCCUCCCACGGGAGAAGAGCUUCAUGUUCAGGCAGUUCUAUAUGGGAACACCUGCCUGAGGCCUGCAGAACGCCAUCUGGACAUUUGUUACCGAAGAAAUGAAUGGAAAGUCCAUUCUGAGGUGGCCGUGUGUUUAUCCCAAGAAUAUAGGAAGAUGUCUAGAAACGUACGCCACUCAGAUGUCCCCCAAGUCUACCUGCUUCAAGGCCAGGAUUGUCUUUAACAUUCACGUAACCCAGGCCUUGUCCUUGGAGCCAUCGUCUUCCCUCUCUUCCUCCUGGGGUCUCUGUGUUCCCCUAACCAGCCCUGGUUCACACUGACCGUCUCCACUAAUAACCUCUCACCUGGUUAUGAAAGUCACUUUUGGGGCAGGUUGCCACAGCUUUCUCCUCCCGGGGAUGCAGGCCCCCCCCGCCCCCGCCCUGGUUCCCCAAAGCACAACUAAGACUCAGCUGGGAAACCCACCAGGUUUCCCUGAAGUCUUGGGGGGUAUCAGUAGCAUAACACAGAGGGCAACCUAUGGCUGAUACCUGGGCUGGCCAAGUGUCUCAGCCAAGACUAAGGGGCCCCGGCUGGGAAUUGAGCUUUUUUUCUCGUCAACAGUGUUACUUGAGGACCUGCUGUAUAAUAAAUACCAUUGGACUGUAUCCUUAAAAAGCACAAAUUCUCUCAUGUGAAUUAUAUCUCAAUAAAGACUAAUCUAUAAUGACAGA